RNAcentral lists this transfer RNA (107 nucleotides) under Ustilago trichophora. It matches the Rfam family "tRNA". Rfam says of the family: Transfer RNA (tRNA) molecules are approximately 80 nucleotides in length. Their secondary structure includes four short double-helical elements and three loops (D, anti-codon, and T loops). Lineage: Eukaryota; Fungi; Basidiomycota; Ustilaginomycetes; Ustilaginales; Ustilaginaceae. The record is from Rfam by way of RNAcentral.
GCAGUCUUAGUAUAGUGGUUAGUACAGCUCGUUGUGGCUCUCUUUAGUCGCAUUGAGUAUUCGGUCUCAAAGCCGAGCAGACGGAUGUUCGAUUCCUCCAGACUGCA